GCUCAGGAUGAACGCUGGCGGCGUGCUUAACACAUGCAAGUCGAACGGGAUCCAUCAGGCUUUGCUUGGUGGUGAGAGUGGCGAACGGGUGAGUAAUGCGUGACCGACCUGCCCCAUACACCGGAAUAGCUCCUGGAAACGGGUGGUAAUGCCGGAUGCUCCAGUUGAUCGCAUGGUCUUCUGGGAAAGCUUUCGCGGUAUGGGAUGGGGUCGCGUCCUAUCAGCUUGACGGCGGGGUAACGGCCCACCGUGGCUUCGACGGGUAGCCGGCCUGAGAGGGCGACCGGCCACAUUGGGACUGAGAUACGGCCCAGACUCCUACGGGAGGCAGCAGU
RNAcentral lists this ribosomal RNA (335 nucleotides) under uncultured bacterium. Its description in RNAcentral is "bacterial SSU rRNA". It matches the Rfam family "Bacterial small subunit ribosomal RNA", at positions 22 to 355 of the family's 1533-position model. The record is from RNAcentral.